Molecule: small RNA, 19 nt
Filed under: Arabidopsis thaliana (thale cress)
Lineage: Eukaryota; Viridiplantae; Streptophyta; Magnoliopsida; Brassicales; Brassicaceae
Description: ATSL022300
Source: RNAcentral
UUUUUGCCAUCUUUUUUUU